Molecule: ribosomal RNA, 302 nt
Filed under: uncultured fungus
Lineage: Eukaryota; Fungi
Description: eukaryotic LSU rRNA
Rfam family: 5.8S ribosomal RNA (bases 1-52)
Source: RNAcentral
AACGCACCUUGCGCCCCUUGGUAAUCCGAGGGGCAUGCCUGUUUGAGUGUCUUGAAGCCCUCAAACCCAAGGUUCUCCUUUAAUGGGGGUUUACUUUGAGGUUUGGAUUUGGACCUUUGCCGGUCGCGUUGCGCGUCGGCUUGUCCUAAAUGCAUUAGCUGGCUGCUGAGGUUGGUGACCUGGUGUGAUAAAGUCACUCGCCGGCGUCGCCUCCUUGGUUGGUGGUCGCUUCGAACCGUCCUGUGCGGGACACAUCUUAAGCGUUUGACCUCAAAUCAGGUAGGACUACCCGCUGAACUUAA